UACAGAGGGGGCAAGCGUUGUUCGGAAUUACUGGGCGUAAAGGGCGCGUAGGCGGCCUUCUAAGUCGAACGUGAAAUCCCCGGGCUCAACCCGGGAACUGCGUCCGAUACUGGAAGGCUUGAAUCCGGGAGAGGGAUGCGGAAUUUCAGGUGUAGCGGUGAAAUGCGUAGAUAUCUGGAGGAACACCGGUGGCGAAGGCGGCAUCCUGGACCGGCAUUGACGCUGAGGCGCGAAAGCCAGGGGAGCAAACGGG
This 253-nucleotide ribosomal RNA is filed under the name uncultured bacterium. RNAcentral's name for it is "partial 16S ribosomal RNA". It matches the Rfam family "Bacterial small subunit ribosomal RNA", at positions 524 to 776 of the family's 1533-position model. The record is from RNAcentral.